UACGUAGGGGGCAAGCGUUGUCCGGAAUCAUUGGGCGUAAAGCGCGCGUAGGCGGCUCGGAAAGUCGGUCGUGAAAUGCCGGGGCUCAACCCCGGGACUGCGUCCGAUACUCUCGAGCUGGAGGCAGGUAGGGGAGAUCGGAAUUCCUGGUGUAGCGGUGAAAUGCGCAGAUAUCAGGAGGAACACCGGUGGCGAAGGCGGCUUGCCAGAACGCGCUCGACGGUGAGGGAUGAAAGCUGGGGGAGCAAACCGG
This 253-nucleotide ribosomal RNA is filed under the name uncultured bacterium. RNAcentral describes it as "partial 16S ribosomal RNA". It matches the Rfam family "Bacterial small subunit ribosomal RNA", at positions 524 to 776 of the family's 1533-position model. The record is from RNAcentral.